AUGCAUGGUGUAAAGAUACUGGAGUUGCGAGGUCAUCAGAGUACCCAGAGGUGCAGCGUGUCACUGAUAAGCUGCUGGAGACACUAGAGGAAUUUAUGAGGGACCGGGCGAAGCGGCCAAAGAGCCCACCACGGGAGCCUGAGCCUGAGCCUGUCAAGGAAGAACCUGAGCCAGAUAUGAACGAAAUCAAAGCGCUUCCAGCACCUGAGGAUUUUAAGGUGCCUGAACCUGAGAAGGUUGAGGAAGAGGUGAAGCCAGAGCCACCCCCGCAGCCACAGGGUGACUUGGUGGAUCUCAGAGAAGAUACUGUAAGUGCAGAUGAAC
Molecule: long non-coding RNA, 324 nt
Filed under: Setaria italica (foxtail millet)
Lineage: Eukaryota; Viridiplantae; Streptophyta; Magnoliopsida; Poales; Poaceae
Description: long non-coding RNA (SITA_LNC007266)
Source: RNAcentral